Long non-coding RNA from Ruditapes philippinarum (Manila clam), 4323 nucleotides. RefSeq lists it as uncharacterized. Lineage: Eukaryota; Metazoa; Mollusca; Bivalvia; Venerida; Veneridae. The transcript is spliced from 3 exons. The record is from RefSeq and is a predicted model, not a curated record.
GUCAAAAAACUUUAACCUUGUUCAUAACUUUUUCAGAUCUUGGUGUAUUGUCUUCAUACAUGGCCACAACAACCCUUCAAAUAGACUAGACUAAACUUAAUUAACUUGACCACCAUAUUAACAUUCAAGAAGUUCGGCCUACAUGUCAGAUUUAUAAAUGUGAACAGCAGGAUAUCGAUUUUAAGGAUGCUUUAGGGUCAAUGACAAUGAAAUCAUGAGAGAUAAAGGCUAAAAUGUGAGACUGUCAAUCUGACUAACCUUGAAGUGAAUAAAUGGAAAAAUAUUUCUUUCAAUAGCAUGGGCAUUUAAGGAAGAGGAAACAGAGGCGCUUAUAUGAUAGAACAGAUAAAGCAGGAGCGAUAAGGAAAGAUACAUGUAGAUGUGUCUUCAUGUCGGAAACACUUAAGAAAUAGAAAAAUUGUGGUUUUAUAAAACUUAAAAGAAAUUGGAAUACCAGGAGACUGCCUGCCCUUUGCAAUGUUGGAUAAUGAGUUCUUAGAUGUGAUGUCGAAAGCCUCAUGAAUAUAGUACCAUGACUUAAUCUAAUUAGAAAAAGAAAUGACAUUGAGGAGAAAACUAGUCACCAGUCUUUCACCAAUAACUAGAGAUAACUUUCCAAUAUUUGAAAUAUCAUAAUAUGUAUAGAACUUUAAUGAGCCACCAGUUUUUCACCAGGAAAAUAAGAUCACUUAACUAUUUUUAGCUCACCUGUCACAAAGUUACAGGGUGAGCUUUUUUGAUCGCUUUUCGUCCGGCGUCCGUCCGUAAACUUUUACUUUAAAUGAAAUCUCCUCAUAAACCACUAAGCCAAUUUCAUCCAAACUUUACAGGAAUGUUCCUUUGGUGGUCACCUUUAAAUAUUGUUCAUAGAAUUUAAUUUCAUGCAGAACGCUGGUUGCCAUGGCAACCAAAAGAAAAUGACUUAAAGUAUCUUCUUUUAAAGAACUCAAAGAGCUAGAGCUUAGACAAAGUAUCUUCUUUUAAAGAACCCAAAGAGCUAGAGCUUAGACAUUUGGCAUGAAACAUCUUCUAGUGAGUGUCUACCAAGUUUGUUCAAAUAAAAGCCCUGGGGUCAAAAUUGGCCCGGCCCCAAGGGGUCAUUGAUUUUCCCUAUAUGCAUAUAGUAAAAACUUAAAAAUCUUCUUUUAAAGAACCAAAAUAGCUAGAGUUUAGAUAUUAAGCAUGAAACAUCUUCUGGUAAGUGUCUACAAAGUUUGUUCAAAUAAAAGCCCCGAGGUCAAAAUUGGCCCCGCACCGGGGGUCAUUGAUUUUCCUUAUAUGUGUAUAGCAAAAACUUAAAAACCUUCUUUGAAAAAACCCAAAUAGCUAGAGUUUAGAUAUUAAGCAUGAAACAUCUUCUGGUAAGUGUGUACAAAGUUUGUUCAAAUAAAAGCCCUGGGGUCAAAACUGGCCCCGCCCCAGGGGUUUCAUUGUUUUUAACUAUAUGUGUAUAGUAAAAACUUAAAAAAUCUUCUUUUAAAAAACCCAAUGAGCUAGAGCCUAGAUGUUUAGCAUGAAACAUCUUCUUAUGGUGUCUACCAAGUUUGGUCAAAUUUAAGCCCUUGGAUAAAAAUUGGCCAUGCCGGGGGUGGGUGGUGGUGCAGAGGUCUUUGUUUUACAUUAUAUUUGUGUAGUAAAAACUUAACAUCAUGAAACAUCUUCUAAUGGGUGUCAUACAAGUUUGUUCAAAUAAAAGCCCUGGGGUUUAAACUGGCCCCGCUCCAGGGGCCUAUAUACACAUGGCCCUCUUGUUGAAAUAUGUAUGAACAAAUCUUUAUCAACUUCAAGGUUUUAUUGAAGGAAUUUGAAUAACUUGGCACAAAUGAUUGUUAUAAUAAGACGAUGAGUCAUGUGCAACAACCAGACCCCUACCUCCAGGGUCAAGGUCGCACUUGCUCAUUCAAGGUCAACAUUGUCUAUUUGAGAGUAUAUCUCGUGUCUGGUCUAUAACUUUCCUAUCUCUAAAGGGAUUUUGUAAAUACUUGCCACAAUUGCUCACAAUAAUGAGAAGAUGUGUCAUGCGCAACAACAGGUCACCUGCCUCCAAGGUCAAGGUCACACUUGGAGGCCAAAUAUUAACAUAACCUGUUACAGGGUAUAUUUCGUGUCUGGUCCAUAACUUUGUCAUUUAUUGAAGGAAUUUGAAAUAACUUGGCACAAAUGUUUGUUAUAAUAAGAUGAUGAUGCGCAAUAACCAGACCCCUACCUCCAGGGUCAAGGUCACACUUGCUCAUUCAAGGUCAACAUUGUCUAUUUGAGGGUAUAUCUCGUGUCCAGUCUAUACCUUUCUUAUCUUGAAGGGAUUUUGUAAAUACUUGCCACAGUUGUUCACAACAAUGAGAUGAUGUGUCAUGCGCAACAAUCGGUCACCAACCUACAAGGUCAAGGUCACACUUGGAGGUCUAAGAAUAACAUAGCCUGUUAUAGGGUAUUUUUUUGUCCGGUCCAUAACUUUUUCCUAUAUCAAAGGAUUUUGAAAACACUUGGCACAAAUAUUCACUAUAAUAAGACAAUGUGUCAUGCGCAACACCUGCAUCCCUACCUCCAAGGUCAGGGUCACAUUUCGAGGUAAAAAAUUAACAUAGUCUUUUAAAGGGUAUAUAUUGUGUCCAAUGUAGAACUUCUUCAUAGUUCAAGGAAUUUUGAAAUAACAUGGCACAAAUAGUCACAAUAAUAAGACUAUAUGUCAAGUACAACACCUGCACCCCUGCCUCCAAGGUCAAGGUCACACUUAGAGGUAUAAAGGUAACAAAGUCUGUUAUAUGGUAUAUUUUAUGCACCGUCCAUAACUUCUUCAUAGAUGAAGGGAUUUUGAAAAUACUUGGCACAAAUAGUUACAAUGAUAAGAUGAUAUGUCAUGCACAACACCUGCACCCCUACCUCCAAGGUCAAGGUCACACUUAGAGGUCAAAGCAGGGAUUUUUUCCAGGAUUUUGGGAACAUAACCCAUACCCAUGGAACUGGGAAUUUCAGCAAUAUUUUGUUAAAAAUUGGGAAAAAAUACAUGACUGAAAUUUUGCAGUGAUUAAAUGUAUGCAAGCAAUCACUGCCUAGGAUGGCUUCUUCAAACAUUUUAACACUAUAACAGUGAAGAAGCCCUUAUUUUCAAAGAUUUUAGAAUUCUUUAUUCAAUAUCUAUAUUUUUGUAACUUUCAAUUGGGAAUAUUUUCCUGUGGAUUGGGAAAAUAAUAUGUCCCAAUAACGGCUAUAAAAUGAGCCAAAAAAUCCCUGCAAAGCUUAACAUGAUAGAUUUUGAAAUUCAGUAUUUCAUUUUAUUUCUUUAAUAAAUAUAUUGUUGCAUUUGCAGAUCUAGCAUUGAUCAUAAUUUUGGACUGAAAAUCCUUAGAUCCCUGGCUCAAUCUUUUGAAAUAGCACAAUUUUUUGUUUCAUAUAAAACAUCCCUGAGACAGGGGACGUUAGUAACUCUGUGGAUCAAAAGUCAAAUAAUAAAUUAAAACAUGAGAGUAUAUUUCUAUAUACAUGGCUGGAUUUUCAUAACAUUUAUCACAAAUCAUGAAAUGUUCACUUAUGUAUACAUCUUUCUCCCCAAUCUGAAGCUUUAAGGUUCAGUUCUGAAUAAAGGCAACAGGCUCGAUAUGCUGCCAGUGGGCUUGUCUAAUUAUGUACAUAUUUUGAUUACCCACUCAAUAUAAGCAUUGUUCUUAACGCAGGCAUUCAAGUCCUGUGGGCACAUUUCUACUUUUGACUAUAUUUUGUUGUAUAAUAUCAGUCUUGUAUGUAAAAAAUCCUUAAAACAGCACCUCCUAUACCACUGGCCGUUUGCAUUAAAGCUUCUUUCAUUCAGAUUGUUAUAACUUGUGUCACCUCAAUAUGUACCAAUAAUUUAAAGGGACUCACUCCAUUGAGGUUUAAAAGCCUAAAACAUAACAUUUGAAUUUCUACAGAAAUGAGCCGGGGCACUUGAUACAGAAAUAUAUGCACAGAUAGUGAAGAAAUAUACUUUGAAAUAAAUUGAAAAUCGAUUUUUUAUGCUUUUCUCAGCCUGAUCUGCGUGAAAUGUGUUUAAACGCUUUUAUUUUGGGUCAUUUUUUUACAAUUUGAAUAAUUAUUCUUGAAAAACGAAGUGCGCAAAUGAUCUGAAAUUUUUCUCAAAGAUAAGUGGUCAAAAUAUACAUCAAGUGGUACAUUAAUCUAGAAAAUAAAUUUCAGUCUCAUCAUGUCAAAAAACCUCAGUGGAGUUCCUUUUACACAGUUUAUCUGACAAACUAAAUUUCAUUAUCUCCAUAUAUUUAAGCAUUUAUUUUUUAUAUCACAUAUAUUUUUACUUUUAUGCAAGUUUUGACAAUAAAAGUUUACUUUAAA